RNAcentral lists this long non-coding RNA (1351 nucleotides) under Pan troglodytes (chimpanzee). RNAcentral's name for it is "lincRNA". The record is from RNAcentral. Lineage: Eukaryota; Metazoa; Chordata; Mammalia; Primates; Hominidae.
CUGAAUGACCUGUCCUGGGCCAGUGACCCUGGACUUCAACCAGAUGUCAGAAUCUCAAGGUACAACCAACAUUUUCACUCCAUGUUGGGUCAAAACAGUUAACACAGCCAAGAUAUUCAAGGUUUCAGUAGAUACUGACUAAGUCCUGGCCAGCUGUGAAAAGAAAGAGGCUGGAGAGCAAUGGCAUGAUCUCAGCUCACUGCAACCUCUGCCUCCGGGUUCAAGUGAUUCUUCUGCCUCAACCUCCUGAGUGGCUGGGAUUACAAGCGUAUGCCACCAUGCCCGGCUAAUUUUCUAUAUUUUCAGUAGAGAUGGACUUUCACCAUGUUAGCCAGGCUGGUUUCAAACUCUUGACCUCAGGUGAUCCACCCACCUCAGCCUCCCAAAGUGCUGGGAUUACAGAAUAUAAAGUGCUAACAUGAGAUAUAACACAAUACCAUGACUCCAGUGUUGCCUGAAUGUUAUGAGAAGUUAUUUUUGAACUUAAGAUUGGCCCUUUCUUCAAAUAAGAGCAGUUGGAACAACAAAAGCUGUUCAGUUGUACCCUUGGAAUCCACGGAAAUCCUGGGUAGGGAAGCUCCAGUACCACCAACUGGAAAGACUGGGAAUGCCUAGUAGCUGGUACUGGCCAUUGUCGUAGGCUUUGUCCACUUUGACAAACUGAAGACGGGGACUCGACUCACCUUCGCCAGCUACAGGAGGACCUCCAGACGAGGACCGGACUCGCCGCCUUUCUUUCCCGUCAGAAAGGGAUCCCUUGCGGACAGGACCGAAUGGCCCCUAAGGCUUCUCUGCAGGUCCAACCGAAACAGGCCUGAAGUUCCAGGAUGGGCGAGAGGAUCCUCUUUGAGCGAAACCAGCCUUCUGCCUGGCUGGCCCUGGUCAACACACUCGGAAGAGGCCGAUUUGGCGGACAGAACGGAAGAAAAGACCUAAAGAUGAUCCUCAUCCAAUCACUUAAAGGCCUGAAUAGAACCAAAAGUCUGACCUGCCCAUGAGUAAGAGAGAGCUCCUUCUGCCUGAUUGCUUCAGCUGAGAUAUCAGCCUUUUCCUGCCUUUGGAAUUGAACUGCAACACUGGCUCUUCCUGGGCCUCAAGCCUGCCAGCUUUUGAACUGUAACCACACCAUCAUCUCUCCUGGUUCUCAGGCCUUUGGACUCAAAUCAGAAACACACCAUGGGCUCUCCUAUGUCUCAAGCUUGCCAACUGUGAUCUUGAGACUUCUCAGCCUCCAUAAUCACAUGAGUCAAUUGUUGGUUCUGUUUCUCUGGAGAACCCUAAUCCAUCACUUUACAUAUUUCUUCCAUUACGCAUAUUGUUUCCCAGCAUAUUAAAUAAUUUACUGAUUAUA